Molecule: unclassified non-coding RNA, 125 nt
Filed under: Halobellus salinus
Lineage: Archaea; Methanobacteriati; Methanobacteriota; Halobacteria; Halobacteriales; Haloferacaceae
Description: HgcC family RNA
Source: RNAcentral
ACGGCUACCGCUGACGUUCCACGCGAAAGCGUACUUGAGAACCGAGGAAACGCGCAACCUGAAUAUCCCCUUCGGGGAAUCCUCGCCCUUUAGGGCGGGGAGGAUGUCAACGUUGUUCUAGAUUC